This 490-nucleotide ribosomal RNA is filed under the name uncultured bacterium. RNAcentral's name for it is "partial 16S ribosomal RNA". It matches the Rfam family "Bacterial small subunit ribosomal RNA", at positions 28 to 507 of the family's 1533-position model. The record is from RNAcentral.
GAUGAACGCUAGCGGCAGGCCUAAUACAUGCAAGUCGAACGGGAUCCAGAUCAAAGCUUGCUUUGGUCUGGUGAGAGUGGCGCACGGGUGCGUAACGCGUGAGCAACCUACCCUUGUCAGGGGGAUAGCCCGGCGAAAGUCGGAUUAAUACCGCAUGACAUCAUUGAGAGGCAUCUUUCGAUGAUCAAAGAUUUAUCGGACAAGGAUGGGCUCGCGUGACAUUAGCUAGUUGGUAAGGUAACGGCUUACCAAGGCUGCGAUGUCUAGGGGCUCUGAGAGGAGAAUCCCCCACACUGGUACUGAGACACGAACCAGACUCCUACGGGAGGAAGCAGUAAGGAAUAUUGGUCAAUGGACGGAAGUCUGAACCAGCCAUGCCGCGUGCAGGAAGACGGCCCUAUGGGUUGUAAACUGCUUUUAUACGGGAACAAACGUCGGUACGUGUACCGGUCUGAGUGUACCGUAAGAAUAAGGAUCGGCUAACUCCGUG